RNAcentral lists this transfer RNA (73 nucleotides) under Fidelibacterota bacterium. RNAcentral describes it as "tRNA-Ala". It matches the Rfam family "tRNA". From Rfam's summary of the family: Transfer RNA (tRNA) molecules are approximately 80 nucleotides in length. Their secondary structure includes four short double-helical elements and three loops (D, anti-codon, and T loops). Lineage: Bacteria; Pseudomonadati; Fidelibacterota. The record is from RNAcentral.
GGGGCCGUAGCUCAGUUGGGAGAGCGCAGCGUUCGCAAUGCUGAGGCCAGGAGUUCGAUUCUCCUCGGCUCCA